RNAcentral lists this transfer RNA (73 nucleotides) under Alphaproteobacteria bacterium. RNAcentral's name for it is "tRNA-Asn". It matches the Rfam family "tRNA". From Rfam's summary of the family: Transfer RNA (tRNA) molecules are approximately 80 nucleotides in length. Lineage: Bacteria; Pseudomonadati; Pseudomonadota; Alphaproteobacteria. The record is from RNAcentral.
GCUUCUGUAGCUCAGUAGGUAGAGCAAACGGCUGUUAACCGUUAGGUCGCAGGUUCGAGCCCUGUCAGGAGCG